Molecule: ribosomal RNA, 419 nt
Filed under: uncultured bacterium
Lineage: Bacteria
Description: bacterial SSU rRNA
Rfam family: Bacterial small subunit ribosomal RNA
Source: RNAcentral
CAGGAAUAUUGCUCAAUGGGAGAAAUCCUGAAGCAGCAACGCCGCGUGGAGGAUGAAGGGUCUAUGACUUGUAAACUCCUGUAAAGAAGGAAAAAAUUCCCAUUAGAUGGGAGAUGAUGGUACUUCUGGAGUAAGCCCCGGCUAACUACGUGCCAGCAGCCGCGGUAAUACGUAGGGGGCAAGCGUUGUCCGGAUUUACUGGGUGUAAAGGGUGCUCAGGCGGAUUUGUAAGUCAGAGGUGAAAUCUUACAGCUUAACUGUGAAACUGCCUUUGAUACUGCAAGCCUAGAGUAUGGAAGAGAGUGAUGGAAUAUCUGGUGUAGCAGUGAAAUGCGUAGAUAUCAGAUAGAACACCAAUGGCGAAGGCAGUCACUUGGUCCAUUACUGACGCUAAAGCACGAAAGCGUGGGUAGCAAACA